This 1905-nucleotide ribosomal RNA is filed under the name Escherichia coli. RNAcentral's name for it is "partial 23S ribosomal RNA". It matches the Rfam family "Bacterial large subunit ribosomal RNA", at positions 960 to 2843 of the family's 2925-position model. Lineage: Bacteria; Pseudomonadati; Pseudomonadota; Gammaproteobacteria; Enterobacterales; Enterobacteriaceae. The record is from RNAcentral.
AUACCGGAGAAUGUUAUCACGGGAGACACACGGCGGGUGCUAACGUCCGUCGUGAAGAGGGAAACAACCCAGACCGCCAGCUAAGGUCCCAAAGUCAUGGUUAAGUGGGAAACGAUGUGGGAAGGCCCAGACAGCCAGGAUGUUGGCUUAGAAGCAGCCAUCAUUUAAAGAAAGCGUAAUAGCUCACUGGUCGAGUCGGCCUGCGCGGAAGAUGUAACGGGGCUAAACCAUGCACCGAAGCUGCGGCAGCGACGCUGAUGCGUUGUUGGGUAGGGGAGCGUUCUGUAAGCCUGUGAAGGUGUGCUGUGAGGCAUGCUGGAGGUAUCAGAAGUGCGAAUGCUGACAUAAGUAACGAUAAAGCGGGUGAAAAGCCCGCUCGCCGGAAGACCAAGGGUUCCUGUCCAACGUUAAUCGGGGCAGGGUGAGUCGACCCCUAAGGCGAGGCCGAAAGGCGUAGUCGAUGGGAAACAGGUUAAUAUUCCUGUACUUGGUGUUACUGCGAAGGGGGGACGGAGAAGGCUAUGUUGGCCGGGCGACGGUUGUCCCGGUUUAAGCGUGUAGGCUGGUUUUCCAGGCAAAUCCGGAAAACUAAGGCUGAGGCGUGAUGACGAGGCACUACGGUGCUGAAGCAACAAAUGCCCUGCUUCCAGGAAAAGCCUCUAAGCAUCAGGUAACAUCAAAUCGUACCCCAAACCGACACAGGUGGUCAGGUAGAGAAUACCAAGGCGCUUGAGAGAACUCGGGUGAAGGAACUAGGCAAAAUGGUGCCGUAACUUCGGGAGAAGGCACGCUGAUAUGUAGGUGAAGUCCCUCGCGGAUGGAGCUGAAAUCAGUCGAAGAUACCAGCUGGCUGCAACUGUUUAUUAAAAACACAGCACUGUGCAAACACGAAAGUGGACGUAUACGGUGUGACGCCUGCCCGGUGCCGGAAGGUUAAUUGAUGGGGUCAGCGCAAGCGAAGCUCUUGAUCGAAGCCCCGGUAAACGGCGGCCGUAACUAUAACGGUCCUAAGGUAGCGAAAUUCCUUGUCGGGUAAGUUCCGACCUGCACGAAUGGCGUAAUGAUGGCCAGGCUGUCUCCACCCGAGACUCAGUGAAAUUGAACUCGCUGUGAAGAUGCAGUGUACCCGCGGCAAGACGGAAAGACCCCGUGAACCUUUACUAUAGCUUGACACUGAACAUUGAGCCUUGAUGUGUAGGAUAGGUGGGAGGCUUUGAAGUGUGGACGCCAGUCUGCAUGGAGCCGACCUUGAAAUACCACCCUUUAAUGUUUGAUGUUCUAACGUUGACCCGUAAUCCGGGUUGCGGACAGUGUCUGGUGGGUAGUUUGACUGGGGCGGUCUCCUCCUAAAGAGUAACGGAGGAGCACGAAGGUUGGCUAAUCCUGGUCGGACAUCAGGAGGUUAGUGCAAUGGCAUAAGCCAGCUUGACUGCGAGCGUGACGGCGCGAGCAGGUGCGAAAGCAGGUCAUAGUGAUCCGGUGGUUCUGAAUGGAAGGGCCAUCGCUCAACGGAUAAAAGGUACUCCGGGGAUAACAGGCUGAUACCGCCCAAGAGUUCAUAUCGACGGCGGUGUUUGGCACCUCGAUGUCGGCUCAUCACAUCCUGGGGCUGAAGUAGGUCCCAAGGGUAUGGCUGUUCGCCAUUUAAAGUGGUACGCGAGCUGGGUUUAGAACGUCGUGAGACAGUUCGGUCCCUAUCUGCCGUGGGCGCUGGAGAACUGAGGGGGGCUGCUCCUAGUACGAGAGGACCGGAGUGGACGCAUCACUGGUGUUCGGGUUGUCAUGCCAAUGGCACUGCCCGGUAGCUAAAUGCGGAAGAGAUAAGUGCUGAAAGCAUCUAAGCACGAAACUUGCCCCGAGAUGAGUUCUCCCUGACUCCUUGAGAGUCCUGAAGGAACGUUGAAG